GAACUGAUGGAUCAACGCUUGGCUCCGAGUUGGUUGAAGCCUCUCCUUGAGGAGGCUUUUUUGGUCCGUGUCCAUGGAAACCGGAUUCCUGAAUCCAACAGAAGCUGACGCUUUUUCUUCAUGCCGUGUUCAGCAAAAGUCGGAUCAUUUCUUAGGUUCUGAAGUGGUUUUUAAAGUUUUAUCUUUUUUGUUGACUUAAUCUAUUCUUAAAAAUGAUACUGCCAGUA
Long non-coding RNA from Oryzias melastigma (Indian medaka), 227 nucleotides. RefSeq lists it as uncharacterized. Lineage: Eukaryota; Metazoa; Chordata; Actinopteri; Beloniformes; Adrianichthyidae. The record is from RefSeq and is a predicted model, not a curated record. The transcript is spliced from 2 exons.